Molecule: long non-coding RNA, 2369 nt
Organism: Oncorhynchus tshawytscha (Chinook salmon)
Lineage: Eukaryota; Metazoa; Chordata; Actinopteri; Salmoniformes; Salmonidae
Source: Ensembl
CCAUUUUGGAGACAGAAACGAGGAAACCGAGGUUGUAUUUGACGAACGUAUUGUUAAAAAGUAUGGAUUUGAGCAAACAAAUAAAGGGACAUAACUACAGAGGUUAAACAUUGGUACAGGAUGGUCCGAGAUGCCCUGACAAGUAGACCUGGUGGGCAAGACGUAUUGGAAGAGUACCAGACAACCAAAACAUUAGACCACAGAACCAGGAGAGAUGAUUGCCAUCUUAGUCAGCCACAUCCAGGCGUUAUCACAUCCGGCUGUUAUUGGGAGUCCCAUAGGGUGGCGCACAAUUGGCCCAGUGUCGUCCGGGUUUGACCGGAGUAGGCCAUCAUUAUAUCCUUUGCCUAUCAGCUGAAGACUGUGUCAAGGAAGACCUCACUUCGACCCAUCAAGAAGAGUAUUUCACCCCAGUCGGGAGGCACAACCCAUAGGAGGAAGACUGUCCUGGACCACCAGCUUGUUGGUGAUGCUUGCAAGGAGGCUAUUUUAUUUUAUUUUUUAAAUAUAUAUAUAUAUCACCUUUAAUUAUCCAGCAUUGUAGACCAUCUUGAUGGGAGCCAUGGUCGACAGACAUACCUCCUUGCCGUCGGAAGAAGACAGAGCAAGAUUGGCAACUACUACAUCAUGGUGGACAAGAGGUUUGUUCCCUGCCAGGCAACUAGCGGUCUGUGUGCGUUUGAUGAACUGUUCAAUGCCCACUUUGUCUUUAACCUGACGUAUGACGAUGCUCUUGUCAACUUCUACACAUUUGUGCAGACAACCAUCGACAACAUUGAUGUAGACAAAACAAGAGAGGCCCCUAGCAUGAUAGAGUUGAGGAAAAAAACUUCUUAACUAGAUAAAUGUAGGUUACGGUGCUUUUGCUGUCAAGUGUUGCACAGAAACAGCCAGUCCUUGAUAUCUCAUUUGAGAAUUAAGCACAGUUUCUAUCCCUCCACCAAGUUUAGAUUGGUCGGUGCUCAAGAUAAUUGUAGAUGGCAGUUUUCAACGUACUCCGGUUUCAGAAAACAUUUGAAUAGUAUUCAUAAGGAUAUAUUGGUAAAGUAGUUGAUGCAUUAAUCUUAAAAGUGCCCUCUCAUGUUGCUGAUUCUCCAGUCCAGUCAGAAGCUCCACAAAUGGGUGGCAACAUUGGUGUCCCACACGAUAACACUCAGUGAUUGUUUUGAGAAGAAUGGACAGUCUUGCUAAAGAUAUGUGAGCCUCCUUCAUUGCCAUGUUGCAAGCUAGCGGUGUUGCAAAUAGUUGUGUCAACAGUAGUUUGUGAUUUAGAAGAGCUCACUACUGGGCUGCACUCCCAAAUUGAACAAGAUGUUCUGUCAGUUAUGCCUAUGGAUAACCCCUCUACAUCUGCUGUAAAGGAUCGUUUGGAGAACUUUGAAAACCCAUUUGCCAGUUUUAACACAGAAACCAAGAGAUGUUGUGGAGUCAGUAGAAGUAGUGUUGAGAGUUAGAUACGACAGCAGGCAAAAUAAACAAACAUGCAUGUAUGAUCAAGUCCCAGUGAAAGAUACAUUUGUAUUCCUACACUGGAAAUAUUGACGUUCAUGUGUCGACAAUUCUGAAAUCUGUAAGUUAUUGGAAAAUGCACCUAGGGAUAGAUCUGUGGAAGACACAUAUGAAGACUUUUGUGUUGGAAGUUUCUUUGAGACUCAUCCCUUGUUCUCAAAACCUAGAAAUGCUUUACAGAUCCAAUUGUACUAUGAUGACUUUGAAGCUGCCAACCUGCUUGGAUCCAAGCGUGGUGUUUACCAGAUAGGCACCGUUUAUUUUGUCCUCACGAAUCCCCACCAAGUUGAACUCUGCAGUGAUGAAUAUUCAUUUAUUUUCAUUAUUUCAUUAUCAAGAUCUAAAAGAAAUAUGUAUUUUAUGCCAUUCUAGAGCCCUUGGUUAAUGAUGUUAAAUUGGAGUGAUGGUGUAAAAUUACUUUCAACUGAUAGAGUUUAUGGCACUAUCUGCCAAAUAACCGGAGACAAUUUGGGGGUGCAUGCAGUCCUUGGUUUCAGAGUCCUUCAGUGGUCAUUACUUUUGCCGGUUCUGUUUGAUAGAAAAGUCGAAUGCUCAGACGGUUUACAGUGAGGAUGACCUUUGUGUGGUAAAUAUCAAUUUGAAAUGCAUUUGAAUCAGUUGCAGUCAGACCCACAGCUCCCGUCUGUGAAUGGUGUAAAGAAAUUCUAAACUGAACAGUUUGCAGCGCUUACAUGUUUGUAGUCAUUGUUCUGUGGACAUAAUGCAUGACAUUCUUGUAAAGGUGGCUCAGUUUGAGUUAAAAUUGUUUUUUGAAUAUGUCUCUGAAAAAUUUCUUUAGAAACGUGCACUUCUCUCUAGAAUCUACUCAUUUGACUAUGGGUACUUGGAACGCAAAAACC